Molecule: ribosomal RNA, 475 nt
Filed under: uncultured organism
Description: partial 16S ribosomal RNA
Rfam family: Bacterial small subunit ribosomal RNA
Source: RNAcentral
ACUCCUGCGGGAGGCAGCAGUGGGGAAUUUUGGACAAUGGGCGAAAGCCUGAUCCAGCAAUGCCGCGUGAGUGAAGAAGGCCUUCGGGUUGUAAAGCUCUUUUGUCAGGGAAGAAACGGUGAGAGCUAAUAUCUCUUGCUAAUGACGGUACCUGAAGAAUAAGCACCGGCUAACUACGUGCCAGCAGCCGCGGUAAUACGUAGGGUGCAAGCGUUAAUCGGAAUUACUGGGCGUAAAGCGUGCGCAGGCGGUUUUGUAAGUCUGAUGUGAAAUCCCCGGGCUCAACCUGGGAAUUGCAUUGGAGACUGCAAGGCUAGAAUCUGGCAGAGGGGGGUAGAAUUCCACGUGUAGCAGUGAAAUGCGUAGAUAUGUGGAGGAACACCGAUGGCGAAGGCAGCCCCCUGGGUCAAGAUUGACGCUCAUGCACGAAAGCGUGGGGAGCAAACAGGAUUAGAAACCCGUGUAGUCCCAUGAU